RNAcentral lists this long non-coding RNA (267 nucleotides) under Athene cunicularia (burrowing owl). Its description in RNAcentral is "lncRNA (ENSACUG00000003529.1)". The record is from RNAcentral. Lineage: Eukaryota; Metazoa; Chordata; Aves; Strigiformes; Strigidae.
GGUUCAUCCCCCUGGUGCCCCGGGAGCUCGAAAAUCCCCAUCUGGAUCCACGGCGUACCCAGACCCUGACCACCCGAGGAGAAUUAAGAAAGAAGAAACUGGCUCAGAAGAUCCACCCUCCCAUGGCCAAAAGGGAGAAAUGGGAGCUCCAGGAGUCCAUGGAGACAAAGGAGAAAAGGUAGCAAUAGCACUUUCCUGGCCUGAGCCUCUGAGACCAGGAGAAGGCUCUCUGUGCUGAGAGGGUCUGGAAAAGGAGAGGCAGCUGGG